Microcebus murinus (gray mouse lemur) is the source of this 1358-nucleotide non-coding RNA. Lineage: Eukaryota; Metazoa; Chordata; Mammalia; Primates; Cheirogaleidae. The record is from RefSeq and is a predicted model, not a curated record.
AAUGUUCUCGCGAUAUCCCGGCUCAGGGCCCUUUCCCCUGAAGUCCCGCCCCCAGGACGUAAGGAAACGUCACGUCCUGGCACGAGGACCUGGGCAGGAGCGGCUGAAAGUUGGCUGGGAAGCAGAGCUGGCCGAUUGAGCAUGCGCCCUGCUCCCUCCGCAACGCGCUCCGCGGCACAGCACCUCCCAUUCCGGAAGGAAGUAGCGGAGUAGGACCCAGGCGGAAGUGCGGCGCGCCGUUUCCAUCGUUCUAGUCUCAAAGGAGCUUUAGGUGGGAGCGUGUUCUCCACUCCACCUUCGAUUUGUGGGGACUCCUGAAAAAGAGCGCGAGCGGAUCACACUCCGCAGGGCGCUCGGUUCUCUUCAGGGUGGGGCGGCCAGUCGCAGAGAAGGCCGCCGUUGGAAGCGGCCCCGAGCAGGGCCUUCGGUCGGGCUCCGUCAGCGUCGGAGACGGUGCCCUCCCCAGCGGAGGGAGGAAGCCGCUCCCGGUGACGCCGCCUUGUCGCACCGUUCUCUGAGCCGCUCGUGUCGUUACAUCAAAGUGAGGGACCUGCAGGACUUAAGCCUUUCAAUCCCCAACGCAUUCCAAGCACCUCCUCAGUGCUAGGUCCUGAGUUGCGUGCAGGGGACGCAGACAGGUGACACCCUAGCCGGCCUGGAUCGUCCGCACAGACCAGGGAGUCAGUGGCAGGGUUACCUGAAGCAAUGAGUUAAGCUUCAGGGCCCCUCACUUGCGUGGUCCCCUGGGAGAGCAGGGAGUUGCUGAGAGCUCCGGAGUGUUCCAGGUGGACAGGAGAAGCCAGUCUGAGAUGAGGCAAUUCUGUGCAAGCAUUUCUAAUAAAUUGCCCAAAGAGAUCUCAGAAGAAGGAGAAUCUGAAUCUCCAAGUCUCCAGUAAUGUGAUUUUUCGUUUUAAAUAUUUUGUGAUUUUUUUUUUAAGGGCUCCCACAGUGUAUAAACUUCAGCUCUACGAAACGGAUAUUCCCCCUCAGGAAGGGAGCUAAGCAGGGAGAAGGCAGAUGGUCACUUUGUCUCUCCACUUUGGAAGAGAUUUUACUUUGAGACAAGAUCCCGUUGCAAUGAAGACCAGUGAUACCCAGUUGGUUUUGGAAGACUGCCCUGUAUGUUUCUACAAGGCAGUGUUUGAGAGUUGCUGCUACCUGUGGUGCAAGGCUGGCCACUCCUUCUCUGUGAGGAUCAGCGCUUCUCACUGAAGGUGUGAGAAGCAGCAGAGACGUCCUGCCAGAGCUGCAAGAGAGAACACAGCGUGGUAGAGCAGUGAUAAUUAGAACUGUGAUGCUGGCACCAGAAAAGACAAAAGCGAAUAGAGCAGAAGAGAAAUAAAAAGUCCAAAACCGAA